GAAAAUAAACACAUAUUUAUAUGUAUAAGACUAACCAAAAUUAAACUUAUAACCUCAUUUACAAUCAAACCACAAAAUAACUAUUAUUUAGACACCCUAGGUACAUGCCGGCACAAAAGUAUAAACAUCACCACAUUUGAGUUCAGGAUCGUUGUUGGAUACUGAAUCGGCGAUCAAACGUUAAGUACCUAACCUGCGCAGGGGAAACAAAACCGUACGCUGAAUAUAAACUCAGUGGUAUUUCUAUAAUCCAAAUAUUUAAAGAUAAGAAAUUACAAAUAUACAAUUGAAAUAUAAACACAUAUUAAUAUUUAAUUAUUACAACAACCAUAUCAUAUUUCAUUUGUUUCGCAAAUAUCUCAAUUCUCAUACUUGCUAUAUAAAUAGCUUUUCACAAUUUAUUUCAUGUUUCAUUAUACAAUUGCAAUAUCCAUUCCAUAGUCAUUUCAUGAGUAUAUAACUCAUAUAUUCCAUAUAUUUGCAACAUAUUUCACAUUCUAUUUUCAAUUCACUAUUUCACUUCCAUUUCUCAUACCAUACCAUUUCAAUAUCAAUUAUAAAAUUUUAUUAUUCAUUUACCCCUAUUAACACGACUCGGACUUGGACGGAUACACGGAUCCAAUCAAAACACACCAGUUUGGCACCCAGUGCCUCAUUGGAUAAUUCGAAGUAAUAAUUUAACACCCAGUGUCUCAUCGGUUAAAACGAAGUGAAUUGGCACCCAGUGCCUCAUCGAAUUAAUCCGAAGUAGUAAAUUGACACCCAGUGUCUCAUCGACUCAAAGUCGAAGAAAUCUCUGAACUCUUCCAAUAUUAUGGCAUGCCAUUUAUAUCCGACUCAGCCUGAUACAGUUAAUAGAGUUUCAAUUCACUUUUCAAAUACAACCAAUAUUCAUUUCAAUUCAAAUAAUCAAUAUAAUCAAUAUAUAUAUACCAAUUCAAUCAAUAUAAAUUCAAUAAAUUCAUCACAUACUAAAAUCAAUCCAUUUCAAUUGCAAAACACAAUAAUUCUCACCUCAACACUUACCAUAUACAUUAAAUUAAAUUAUAACAAUUAACAACUAAAUUCGGAUUAUAGAAAUGCAAACCAAAAAUUUCGAGCUAUUCCUCGUCGACUUUAUCUUUCCCCUUUUUAGUCGAGGAUUCUGGUACGACGUUAGCUACGGAAUUAAAACAAUUAAAAAAAAUCAUCAAUACAACACAAUUCAAUCUCAUAAUUAAUAAUUCAAUUUUUAUUCAACAUUUUUCUAAAUUCCAAUUUAGUCCCUAAACCGAGACUAAUUUUAUUUCUUCACAAUCAAUUUUAUAUUUUCAUUCAAUUUUCACUUUAAACUAAAUUUAACUCCCUAAUUUCACUUAAAUCUCUAAUUUCAAUUUUUUCACAACUUAGUUCCUAUUACACAAAAUUUACAAUUUAUUCUACAAUUCAAUCCUUUUUCAUUUCUAACUUAAAAAUCUAUCAAUUUAAUCCCUAAUACUAAAAUUAUUCAACAUAAAAAAUACUUAAAAACUCAAUAAUUUCUAAAAUUUUGACAUGGGUCGGGUAGUAUUUAACACUAAGAUUCCAAAAAUAUAAAAUUACAAGAAAAAGAGACUAAAUUGACUAACCAAUUAAACUUAGAACUUUGAAACCCUAGUUUCUCCUUUCUCGAUCUCCUUCUUUCUCUUUUUCCGUGUGUUUCGUUUCUAU
This 1689-nucleotide long non-coding RNA is filed under the name Gossypium barbadense (sea-island cotton). RNAcentral's name for it is "long non-coding RNA (GBAR_LNC018892)". Lineage: Eukaryota; Viridiplantae; Streptophyta; Magnoliopsida; Malvales; Malvaceae. The record is from RNAcentral.